Molecule: long non-coding RNA, 2751 nt
Filed under: Homo sapiens (human)
Lineage: Eukaryota; Metazoa; Chordata; Mammalia; Primates; Hominidae
Description: long intergenic non-protein coding RNA 1018
Source: RNAcentral
AAAGAUGGGGCGGCGCGGCCGGGGCUCGCCAGCACCAGCCCUGGAACCCCAUGGGGGACCUCGACAACAGCGCCUUUGCGGCGUGGGCCCCUUUCUGCAGCUCCUCCACCCGCGCGCUGUCGGCUCCGGGACACUGGGGCUUUGAAGGGCGCCAGUUCCCAGCCGCACCUGCACGCCUAGGAGGGCGCAGGCCGCGUGUCCCUGUGGGAGGAAGGCCCCGGCAACCUGCAAAGACCUCACGUCACAGAAACUUGCGGCGUUUGCCCCCGAUGCGCGCGUCAGGUGCUCCGUCCCUUCCAGGUGGCAGAGGAGAGGGAAGGGUCGCGCCUGGUGGGGGCCUGAGAGCCACCGGGCUGCGGUGCGCGAGUGUGGACACCGCCCCGCCUUCUGCGUCUACAGCCCUGGGUUCUGGGACCUUUGGAAACCGCUUUGGACGAAGCUGAGCAUCUCUUUCCCCACGCUGACCUCCCCCAUAGACUCCGGAUGGGAGUAAAUGAGGCUCCUGGGAAAUCCAGAAACUCUAGAGAAGCUUGUUUGCCAAACCUUGCUUUGGGCGGUGGAGACAGAAUAUCAUGUCCCAGAUCAGCGUGUGGUGACUGUGGAGGCAUUUACACACAGCACACUCCAGCUCUGCCACUGGGCCGGCUGAGGUGGCUGCGGUACACGGCGCCCAUCCUGAGCCCCAGGUUCCUCACAUGUCAACAGCAUGAAAAGUGCCUCUAAGACAUCCACAGGUGUGCAGUGUUAAAGCAGGCAGCGCCUCAGCUUGGUUAGCUCCCUUAAGGACUGCGGCUCCCUUAGGACAAGGCUCUGUCCCUCAGAGCACUGAGUGCGAUCUCAUGCUGGCAUCUUAGAGACAUUGUAUUCACCAGGAUUCUGCCAUGAUUGCCACCUCUGGAGACGUCACAGCCAGCACAGCCAUGACCAGGGAUGAACUUGGCCAUUGUCCAGCAGCACCAUGGGAGGACCAGCUGCUGUAAGUGAAGGUCAUCAUCCAUCUGAUUUGCUGGCUUUUUGCAACUACUGCGGUGGAAGUCUUAGAGUAGCCACCUUCUCUGUACUCAGACCUUCACUUCGCCAGAUGUCAGCACAGCAGUGUCAGCAGCUUCGUCAAACACAAACACCACCACCUCUCUGGAUCAGAAGCACAUGGAAAGCCCACCUUGCAAGAAGACCCAGCUAUUCCAAAAGUACCCAUAUCCCUGUAGCAUCCUCUUAGCUGAAUGUCUCUACUCCUUAAACUUGUACCACUUUGAAGAGUAAAAAUUUAAAUUCAUUCAUAUUAUCAUUUUUUAGUUUUUAGUAUAAGUGGAGCUGUUUAUCGGCCAUUUGUAUGUCCUUUUCUUUUUUUUGCAAAUUACUCCUUUGCCAAAUUUUCUCUCAAAUGACUCAUCUUUUUCUUAUUGAUUUGCAGAAGCUAUUUACAUAUUAUGGAUGUGGGGUGUCUAACAUACACAGCAAAUACUUUGUCCCAGUGUGUCACUUUUUAAAAAAAUUCUUAUAAUGUCUUUCAUCUUUAAAAAAUUAUUAAGCUAUUGUGAGCUUUUAUGCCUUUUCAGUUUAUUUUCUUACAUAGAUAAUUAUAUGAAGUGCAAAUAGGGGCAGUGUUAGUCUCAUCUUCCCAAGGCUGCACCUCAGAUGUGGAAUGUUGACAGCAACAUCUGUUACCUUGUUUCUGUUUUUAGGAUUUUAGCGUUAAGGCCAGGCAUAAUGGUUCAUGCCUGUAAUUCCAGCACUUUGGGAGGCCGAGGUGGGCAGAUCACUUGAAGCCAGGAGUUCAAGACCAGCCUGGCCAACAUGGAGAAACCCUCUCUAUUUUUAAAUACAUUUAAAAUGUUAACAAUUAAAACAAAAUAUUUUACCGUUAGUAUGAUGCUUGAUACAGGAUUUCUGGUACAUACGCCUUAUCAAAUUAAAUAAGUUUCCUUUUACUCUUGUUUAUUGUUAUUUUUUAAAAUAAGGAAUGAAUCUUGGAUUUUAGUGUAUCAAUAAUUAUAUUUUAUUCUUUAACUUCAUAAUAUUCCUUAUAAUUCCUUAUGUCAUAUUAAAGAUGUAAAUUCAUAUAUAUUUUAUCAUACAAAUGAUUAAUAAAUGUAUAAGCAUGUCAUUAUAUGAGAGUAUACUUCCUUAUGUUUCAUGAAUGCAUCGUGACAGGCUCAUUUUUUUAAUCACUGCUCGAUUUGUGCCACUGAUGUUUUAUGAGGCCUAUUUAUGUCGGCGAUGGUAAGAGUGUUAGUGUUUCCUCUGUGGGUACCUUCAUCUACCGUGAGUCUCCUGGAUAUGCUAGCAUCACAGAAUGGCAGGCGGAAAUUUCCAGCUUUUUCUAUAGAAUGAGUUUAACACAGAAAAUAGAUCUUUCUUGAAAAUGUGGUAACACUUACCUGGAAACCUCCCUGGCCUAGUGCCUCUUUUCUUGGGGCUAAAGGGUAUGAAAAUGGGUAGAUCUCCAAAUGCCUUUUCCAUUUUUCUAUGAAUAUUAUUCCUACUCAGGCUUUUCUCUUCUUGGAACAAUGCUGCUAACUUGUGCCUACUUGGCUAUUUCUACUUCAUGUAUAUUUUCAAAUCCAUUGGUGUGCAAGUGGACUUAGUAUGUUCUUGCAAGCGUAAGAGUCUCCAUUAGUGUAAUGACCUUCUCUCUUUCUGUUUUCCUUGAGCAAUUAACAUAUAUUUGUCUUAUUUUAUUGGUCUUCUCAAAAGAAUAUGCUUUUGAGUUAUUGAUCACCUGUACCAUGUGUUCUAUCACACUAUUCU